RNAcentral lists this ribosomal RNA (253 nucleotides) under uncultured bacterium. RNAcentral describes it as "partial 16S ribosomal RNA". It matches the Rfam family "Bacterial small subunit ribosomal RNA", at positions 524 to 776 of the family's 1533-position model. The record is from RNAcentral.
UACGUAGGGUGCGAGCGUUGUCCGGAAUUAUUGGGCGUAAAGGGCUCGUAGGCGGUUCGUCGCGUCGGGAGUGAAAACCUCGUGCUUAACACCGCGCUUGCUUUCGAUACGGGCAGACUAGAGGUAUGCAGGGGAGAACGGAAUUCCUGGUGUAGCGGUGAAAUGCGCAGAUAUCAGGAGGAACACCGGUGGCGAAGGCGGUUCUCUGGGCAUUACCUGACGCUGAGGAGCGAAAGUGUGGGGAGCGAACAGG